Molecule: long non-coding RNA, 1885 nt
Filed under: Rattus norvegicus (Norway rat)
Lineage: Eukaryota; Metazoa; Chordata; Mammalia; Rodentia; Muridae
Description: long non-coding RNA NONRATT023047
Source: RNAcentral
GUUCUUGGGAAUACAAUUGGUUUCUGUAUCGCUUUAUUUCAACUUAAUGUAUUCACUGAACUAAGUUGGAAAUUGUGUUGUAUUUAACCCCCAUGCCUGUCUUUCUCACACUUUAAUGAUAAUUCUAAUGGGAGUGGUUCUAAAAACAUUUCCCGCAUGACUAAUAAGCUAAUGCUUCUCCUGCGGCCUUCACCUUGCCUGCUGUGUAGUGAUGGCCCUUUAAGAAGCUGGUAUUUUUUUAAUCUGUAAUUUCUUUAGGUUAAUUGACUAGUCAUAUAAGUUCCUACAAACUUGUUCAAGUUCUGUAUUCAUGGUGCUUUUGACAUAAUUUAAAAAUUCCAUGCUUUUGCCUUAGGGUAGUGAAGUUUCCGAAUUUAGAUACUAACAGGUCUGAAUAUGUAUAUUUCUGAAAUCAGAAUUUAUUUUCGGUUUCAUUUUCAAGUAUACACGUAGAGAAGGUAAUUUGUAAUUGGUUUUUUUUUUUAGGCCACCCUACUAUAAAAGAGGGAGCGUGUGAUCGUGCGUCUUGCAGAAUGUUGUAUAUAUUAAAACUAUCUCUUCUGAAUUAGGCGUUUCCAUUUUUUACUAACUUAUUAGCUGUUGGUUUGGGUUAUGUGUAAUAUAAUGUUUAGAAUUAUAGAUUGAAUUUAUUGAAGUGGUCCUUCAUGUUUAGGAGAAAAUUUUCUUUCCCCAACUAUGAACGGUAGCAACAGCUUUGGCUUAGCCGUUUGAAACUGAGUUUGCCUCAGUAAUACAGAAUCAGUUAUUAGCUGUAUAAAGCCCGGUUCUGAAAAUCCCUAGUGACCCUAGUGACCCUAGUAUCCCUAGUGACCACCCUUGAGACUGGGGAGAGUGCCACCUAAGAGGCACUGUCAAAUGCCUGUCAGAGUGUUUAGCUCCCAUUGACAGCCUCUAAAAUUCUGCCCAGCUUUGGGUCCUCAUGCGUUUGAAACCAGAAUACACCGGAGUUUUAGACACUUUUAUUUAAGUAUCAUUCCCGAAUAUUCUUUGUUUUUACAUACUAACCUCCUAGUAAGAGGUCAGCAACCAUUUGCUCCAGGAUGAUGGGGCACCGUUUGUUCUGGGAAGAUGGAAUGUUGGCUGAGGUACAACUCCUGAAAUCAGAACGCAGCAGCUCUCUCUCUAACUGUCGCUACUCUUAUACGUGGUUACAUGUGCCACUCAUAGGCCAGGUCUUCUCAAAGCUUAAAUGGUUGGUAAGAGUUUUUCUCAUUCUGUGUUCAAACAGUAUUUUUACUCUGUCGCUGAGGACUUGGUCAGAAGCUUCUGGUACUCAAGGAUAUAAGCCCUUCAACUCAGUCCUCAGCUACGUAGUAAGUUGAGGACUCCUUAAUAAUCAUUUUCAAAGUUGUUUUAGCUCUCCUCCUGAUUAUGACUAAAUUCAUUUUGAAUUUGAAUGUUGUGGAAUAAUCAAAGGUAAUUAGUUUUGAAUUCACAACCUUAGGUCCUAAACUCAAUAAAAGUCACUUACCCAAAUGGCUGAAAAGCGGGUUUUCAAAGCAGUUUUCUUUAAGUGUCAUGACUACUACUAACUGUGGAUGGUUUUAGUCAGGAAUGAAUAAUUAAAUUUCUGUGUUAAAAACGUUUGUAAUUAAUUCCUCACCAGGUUUUUGCAUUGUCAUGAUACUAAUGCUCAUUCUAUGUACAGAAAUUAAUUAUGCCCAUUUUCCCAGCUGUAAAGUAAGUGUACGCAAUGGUGACUUCCCAACACUUUUAUACCAUCUUUAAUCAGAGCAUUUGAAAAACUUUAAGUGAUGAUAAAAUACAGGUAGCUGCUGAACCCCUGACUUCUGUGACUUCCUUCAACUUGUGUCUAAGGCUUUUUUUUGUGUGUGUGUGUCUGAGAAAGAAUAAAGAUAUUGGC